This 440-nucleotide ribosomal RNA is filed under the name uncultured bacterium. RNAcentral describes it as "partial 16S ribosomal RNA". It matches the Rfam family "Bacterial small subunit ribosomal RNA", at positions 338 to 795 of the family's 1533-position model. The record is from RNAcentral.
CCUACGGGAGGCAGCAGUGGGGAAUAUUGCACAAUGGGGGAAACCCUGAUGCAGCGACGCCGCGUGAGCGAUGAAGUAUUUCGGUAUGUAAAGCUCUAUCAGCAGGGAAGAUAAUGACGGUACCUGACUAAGAAGCACCGUCUAACUACGUGCCAGCAGCCGAGGUAAUACGUAGGGGGCAAGCGUUAUCCGGAUUUACUGGGUGUAAAGGGAGCGUAGACGGAUGUGCAAGCCAGAUGUGAAAGCCAGGGGCUCAACCCCGGGACUGCAUUUUAAACUGUUUGGCUGGAGUGUCGGAGAGGCAGGCGGAAUUCCUGGUGUAGCGGUGAAAUGCGUAGAUAUUAGGAGGAAAACCAGUGGCGAAGGCGGCCUGCUGGACGAUGACUGACGUUGAGGCGCGAAAGCGUGGGGAGCAAACAGGAUUAGAUACCCCAGUAGUC